GGGGUUGUAGCUCAGUGGCAGAGUGCUUGCCUAGCAUGUGUGAGGCCCUGGGUUCGAUUCUCAGCAUCGCAU
Ictidomys tridecemlineatus (thirteen-lined ground squirrel) is the source of this 72-nucleotide non-coding RNA. The record is from Rfam. NCBI's taxonomy places the organism in Eukaryota, Metazoa, Chordata, Mammalia, Rodentia, Sciuridae.